This 115-nucleotide ribosomal RNA is filed under the name Bacillus spizizenii. The record is from RNAcentral. Lineage: Bacteria; Bacillati; Bacillota; Bacilli; Caryophanales; Bacillaceae.
UGGUGAUGAUGGCGAAGAGGUCACACCCGUUUCCAUACCGAACACGGAAGUUAAGCUCUUCAGCGCCGAUGGUAGUCGGGGGUUUCCCCCUGUGAGAGUAGGACAUCGCCAGGCA